UACGGAGGGUGCAAGCGUUGUCCGGAUUCAUUGGGUUUAAAGGGUGCGCAGGCGGGACAUUAAGUCAGGGGUGAAAGACGGUUGCUCAACAAUCGCAGUGCCCUUGAUACUGAUGAGCUUGAAUACACUUGAGGUAGGCGGAAUGUGACAAGUAGCGGUGAAAUGCAUAGAUAUGUCACAGAACACCAAUUGCGAAGGCAGCUUACUAAGGUGCAAUUGACGCUGAGGCACGAAAGCGUGGGGAUCAAACAGG
Molecule: ribosomal RNA, 253 nt
Filed under: uncultured bacterium
Lineage: Bacteria
Description: partial 16S ribosomal RNA
Rfam family: Bacterial small subunit ribosomal RNA
Source: RNAcentral